RNAcentral lists this ribosomal RNA (456 nucleotides) under uncultured bacterium. Its description in RNAcentral is "bacterial SSU rRNA". It matches the Rfam family "Bacterial small subunit ribosomal RNA", at positions 923 to 1379 of the family's 1533-position model. The record is from RNAcentral.
GCACAAGCGGUGGAGCAUGUGGUUUAAUUCGACGCAACGCGAAGAACCUUACCUGGACUAGAAUGUGAGGGAAGUUCGCUUAAUGGCGAGCGUCCGGGCAACCGGACCCAAAACAAGGUGCUGCAUGGCUGUCGUCAGCUCGUGUCGUGAGAUGUUGGGUUAAGUCCCGCAACGGGCGCAACCCCUAUUGACAGUUGCCAAUAUUAAGUUAGGAACUCUGUCAAGACUGCUGUUGAUAAAACGGAGGAAGGUGGGGAUGAUGUCAAGUCAUCAUGGCCUUUAUGUUCAGGGCUACACACGUGCUACAAUGGCCGGUACAAAACGUCGCAAUCCCGCAAGGGGGAGCUAAUCGCAAAAACCGGUCUCAGUUCGGAUUGGAGUCUGCAACUCGACUCCAUGAAGUUGGAAUCGCUAGUAAUCGCAAAUCAGCAUGUUGCGGUGAAUACGUUCCCGGGC